This is a non-coding RNA of Microcebus murinus (gray mouse lemur), 504 nucleotides long. Lineage: Eukaryota; Metazoa; Chordata; Mammalia; Primates; Cheirogaleidae. The record is from RefSeq and is a predicted model, not a curated record.
CGUCGUCCUUCUGAACUCGGCCUGAGAAAUGAGCGCGGUUUACUGCCAGCCGGGCUACGUGUCCCGGAGCGUGGCCCUGAGCGACUGGCAGUCCGCCCCUUGGGACUGCUGCGAUGACAUGAAGACUUGGAUCUCUGUGCGGAGACUGGCUGUGGUGGACGUUUUGUUGUCCUUGUACCUUGUGUCAACUGAAGAGGGACGUCGAGAUGAGGAAAGAACUGUGUGCUUUGUAAAAGGCGCUUGCUCAAAUUCACAUUGUCGUCAAAAAGCUGGAAUGAAAUACCACGUCUAUUAAAUGCCAUCUCAUCUUACGUUUCAGAAACGAAUUCAAACUAAUCAAACGGCUUCAAGAUAUUUUUAAUUCCUAGUUUCUUUAAAAAACAAAAAAAAACAUUUAGUGCAUGUAUUAACAAUCUCGGAAGUGUUAACAUUUAACAGUAGCAAACAACCCAUGGCAUUUCUGUUGUGUAUGCAAUAAAAAAAACUUUCUGCACACUGAAAAAA